AACCUAACCCUAAAUUAAGAAACGAUAAGAAAGCGACGAAAAUUGAGAAAUCACAUAGUCAGUCUAUAAUGUCUUAUAUCACAUCUCGGGUCACCAUCACAAAGACAGGUCGUUAUUCUCAAUCGCUGAGUCUCCUCAUUUUGGUAGGUAGACGCAAAAAGACAUGUUUUAAACCACAGGUUUUAGGGUGUCACCUUCUGCCGACUAAAUCGAAACCCUUGCCCAG
RNAcentral lists this long non-coding RNA (226 nucleotides) under Prunus persica (peach). RNAcentral describes it as "long non-coding RNA (PPER_LNC006870)". Lineage: Eukaryota; Viridiplantae; Streptophyta; Magnoliopsida; Rosales; Rosaceae. The record is from RNAcentral.